RNAcentral lists this long non-coding RNA (548 nucleotides) under Setaria italica (foxtail millet). Its description in RNAcentral is "long non-coding RNA (SITA_LNC004547)". Lineage: Eukaryota; Viridiplantae; Streptophyta; Magnoliopsida; Poales; Poaceae. The record is from RNAcentral.
GAUUAAUUAGCCUUAAUAGAUUCGUCCCGCGAAUUAGACUCCAUCUAUGCAAUUAGUUUUGUAACUAGCUCAUGUUUAGUCCUAAUUAGCAUUCGAACAUCCGAUGUGUCCCUGCUAAAGUUUAGCACAUCGUAUCCAAACACCCCUCAACGAAAAAAGAGCAAAAAUAAUAUGGUGAAACGAAAAGGACGCGGUAAAGAAAAAUAUAAGGGUACCUAUGUAAAUAAAAGAAAUUAAAUAAAAAGUUAAUAUAAUUACGUGCAUUAAUCUAUUUACUAAUCUUUUUUCAUUUUAUAUGAAAUCUAGUGAAAAAUUCAAAACUCAUUUGUACAUCGAAUUCAAAUAGAUAAGGGCAUAUUGGACAUUUAACCUCUUAUAUCUGUAAAUGAAAAAUAGGAGAAGCCGUUUUGCCUAUCAAAAUAGCUUCAACCAGAGGAGCCACAGCCGAAGCCCUAAAAAAUACAGAAGUAUUUUUCAUGAUUAUUUUCAUUGGUUAGGAUACAAAAGCAUGAAAUGAAAUGAUGAAAAAUUUUCGGGCUCAAACGGAC